Molecule: long non-coding RNA, 205 nt
Filed under: Lathyrus oleraceus (garden pea)
Lineage: Eukaryota; Viridiplantae; Streptophyta; Magnoliopsida; Fabales; Fabaceae
Description: Pisum sativum (pea) long non-coding RNA (PSAT_LNC008083)
Source: RNAcentral
AAAUAUCUAAGGGGAUUGGGAAACACUUCUAAACACGUUGGACCUAUGUGAUCCAUAUAUACAAAAUUAAAGAGAUUGGGAAACACUUGGGUAUAAUAUAAUGUUUGUUCUUGGGAAUUUGAGUCGCUAUUUCCUUGUAACUCAUUUGUAAUCUUUUAGAAGUACAGUGAAUCAGAGAGAUGCUCUUUCCUCCCGUGUAGAUCAU